AMMAGGCAUUCCCUAGUAACGGCGAGUGAACCGGGAAGAGCUCAAAUUUGAAAUCUGGCGUCCUCAGGGCGUCCGAGUUGUAAUCUAUAGAGGCGUUUUCCGUGCCGGACCGUGUCCAAGUUCCUUGGAACAGGAUAUCAAAGAGGGUGACAAUCCCGUACUUGACACGACGACCGGUGCUCUGUGAUACGUCUUCUACGAGUCGAGUUGUUUGGGAAUGCAGCUCAAAAUGGGUGGUGAGUUCCAUCUAAAGCUAAAUAUUGGCGAGAGACCGAUAGCGAACAAGUACCGUGAGGGAAAGAUGAAAAGCACUUUGGAAAGAGAGUUAAACAGUACGUGAAAUUGUUGAAAGGGAAACGAUUGAAGUCAGUCGUGACCGAGAGGCUCAGCCGGUUCUGCCGGUGUAUUCCCCUCGGUCGGGUCAACAUCAGUUUUGUCCGGUGGAUAAGGGCGGUAGGAAGGUGGCACCCUCGGGUGUGUUAUAGCCUGCCGUCGCAUACAUCGGGUGAGACUGAGGAACGCAGCUCGCCUUUAUGGCCGGGGUUCGCCCACGUCCGAGCUUAGGAUGUUGACAUAAUGGCUUUAAACGACCCGUCUUGAAACAMGGGACWCCAAAAAA
RNAcentral lists this ribosomal RNA (619 nucleotides) under Papiliotrema laurentii. RNAcentral's name for it is "partial large subunit ribosomal RNA". It matches the Rfam family "Eukaryotic large subunit ribosomal RNA", at positions 68 to 664 of the family's 3401-position model. The record is from RNAcentral. Lineage: Eukaryota; Fungi; Basidiomycota; Tremellomycetes; Tremellales; Rhynchogastremaceae.